CUUGUGAUGUGUCGAAACGCCUUAUAGAGUAACACUGUGGUUUUGCUUUACUCACAGGACUAUUUGUUAGGUCUGUGGGAAAGAACUACAAGACAAUU
Molecule: small nucleolar RNA, 98 nt
Organism: Nycticebus coucang (slow loris)
Lineage: Eukaryota; Metazoa; Chordata; Mammalia; Primates; Lorisidae
Source: RefSeq, a predicted model, not a curated record